UACAAACUAGUCUGUGCUAUUAUGUGCAUAUGGGCUUAAUGUGUGUGUAGUAUGUGUAAUGAGUGUGGUGUCUGUUAGGGGCAGCAUACAGACCCACUUCAAUCAGAGGAGGCCUGACACAAGGAUAUGGAACACUCGGCUAUGGAGGAGCUGCAAACCUUGGAACUGGCCUUGGGGCUGCCGGGCUGAGACUCGGCACAGGGUAUGGCCUAGGCAACGGGCUGGGAGCAGCCUUAGGUUAUCCAGCAGGGAAGCUUGGAGGGAGAGGUUACACCAGCAAUGGCUAUGGAGCACAGCUAGGUUACGGCGCAGGAGGAUAUCCCGGUGCUGGUCGUGGUAUGUAAACUCUCCUUGUUGAAGCAUUAGGAAAAUGUGUGUGUUUAAACUCAGGGGUCUGAACAAGGUUUUGUUGUUUACUUAGGUUGUUAUAGCAACCACAACUGACCAGCUUUAUCCACUUUAUUCCAGGAAGCAGCUGUCCCCAUAAUAUUUUCUUUAUUUCAGAUUUUUGCAGUAUUGAGUAUUCUAUUGAUAAAGUGAAAAUUUGUCACCAGAUGCAAGAUAAAAUAAUAAUAAUAAUAAUUUCAGCGCUGAUAAAGCAGUAUUUAGGUGCUCUUUGUGCACCAAAUUUGUGUUCAUUUAAAUCUUUGUGGAAUUUCUGUGGAAAGUAUUUUUGGAAGUGCUUUAUUAUUCUGCUAUUUUAGCGUAUAUAUAUAUAUAUAUAUAUAAAA
Cyprinus carpio (common carp) is the source of this 731-nucleotide long non-coding RNA. The record is from Ensembl. Lineage: Eukaryota; Metazoa; Chordata; Actinopteri; Cypriniformes; Cyprinidae.